Molecule: transfer RNA, 74 nt
Filed under: Xestospongia muta (giant barrel sponge)
Lineage: Eukaryota; Metazoa; Porifera; Demospongiae; Haplosclerida; Petrosiidae
Description: tRNA-Leu
Rfam family: tRNA
About the family: Transfer RNA (tRNA) molecules are approximately 80 nucleotides in length. Their secondary structure includes four short double-helical elements and three loops (D, anti-codon, and T loops). Further hydrogen bonds mediate the characteristic L-shaped molecular structure. tRNAs have two regions of fundamental functional importance: the anti-codon, which is responsible for specific mRNA codon recognition, and the 3' end, to which the tRNAs corresponding amino acid is attached (by aminoacyl-tRNA synthetases). tRNAs cope with the degeneracy of the genetic code in two manners: having more than one tRNA (with a specific anti-codon) for a particular amino acid; and 'wobble' base-pairing, i.e. permitting non-standard base-pairing at the 3rd anti-codon position.
Source: RNAcentral
AGGAGUGUGGUGAAAGGGGUAAACACAUCUGAUUUAGGAUCAGGUAUUUGCAGGUUCAAGUCCUGUUAUUCCUA